RNAcentral lists this transfer RNA (85 nucleotides) under Alphaproteobacteria bacterium HGW-Alphaproteobacteria-6. RNAcentral describes it as "tRNA-Thr". Lineage: Bacteria; Pseudomonadati; Pseudomonadota; Alphaproteobacteria. RNAcentral also lists the same sequence under 1 other name. The record is from RNAcentral.
ACCGUUAUAUUUCAAGAGGUUUAGUCCUUAGACCUGAUCAUUCGUAAUGAUGGGGUCGGGGGUUCGAAUCCCUCGUGCGGCACCA